Molecule: long non-coding RNA, 821 nt
Organism: Solea senegalensis (Senegalese sole)
Lineage: Eukaryota; Metazoa; Chordata; Actinopteri; Pleuronectiformes; Soleidae
Exons: 2
Source: RefSeq, a predicted model, not a curated record
CACAUGCAGGCAUUUAUUUUUGUGUGAGACUGAGUGAAGAAACAUUUACAGCCCGCUCUGUAACCAGUGCGGGAACGGCAGCGGCCAUGCAUAUGCGUGAUUCAUGAGCAGCCUGGACGCGGCGUGUGAGGGUCUAAAUCUCUCAGAUUUAGCGUCAAUUUUACGCAGCCGUGCAGCGACGACUCCGCAGACGUUGAGCUCCAAUCUCAACUUCUGCACCCAGGAAGCAGGGGAGGACAUCCUUUUUCUGUUGGUUUUAUAAAGCUAUAUUUAAAGCUUUAUUUAGGACCAAUAAUAUUACUAAAGCUUCAGAGGAAGCAAAACUUUAAUGCCAGUGGGUACACCCUCUAAAAUGGUUUCAAGGUAUUUCAUGGUUUUACAAGGGACCACAAGGUUUCUCAAGGGGUUUCUGAAAUGUGCUACAGCACAUAACAAACAGUGACCUUUCAACAUGACCUUCAAACAGCACUUAGCUGUGUAGGCUGUGUUGUGCUAUCUGCGCAGUGCAAUGUAUUGUUUUGGACUUGGUGCAAUACAUUGGGUGCAAUGUAUUGUAUUGGGCGCUAGCUUAAGGAAAUGGAUCCAUCACAAUGCAACACGGAAACUUGUGAUCCACAGUCCCCUCCCCCUACGGGUCUGUGCCACCUGAAUGAAAACGGGUGGCAAAUCUCCCCAAACUCACCUGUGGCUAAAGUGACUGAUGCAAUGGAACUGGAUUGGACUAUACUUACCGUAGCAUAUCUCUUUUCUAAAAAGAUCUGUUGUACUUGUGUCUAACUUCUUUCUAUCCUUUCUCUCUUUUCUUUUUUGAUUCAAUGAAG